This 468-nucleotide ribosomal RNA is filed under the name uncultured bacterium. RNAcentral describes it as "partial 16S ribosomal RNA". It matches the Rfam family "Bacterial small subunit ribosomal RNA", at positions 28 to 507 of the family's 1533-position model. The record is from RNAcentral.
GAUGAACGCUGGCGGCGUGCUUAACACAUGCAAGUCGAGCGGACAGGCCCUGAUCUUGUGGGGCGCUCGAGAGGCGAACGGGUGAGUAAAACGCGAGUAACAUGUCCUUGUCUUUGGGAUAACUUCAGGAAAAUGGGGCUAAUACCGGAGAGGAGCUCCUGCUGCGCGGUGGGGGAUGGAAAGAGUCGGCGGUUGUGGAUGGACUCGCGGCUUAUCAGCUUGUUGGGGGGGUAGUGGCGUACCAAGGCUUUGACGGAUAGCCGGCCUUAGAGGGCGGCCGGCCACCUUGGGCCUGCGAUACGCCCCAGUCUCCUACGUUACGCAGCAGUGGGGAACCUUGCGCAAUGGGCGGAAGCCUGUUGCGGCAACGCCGCGUGCGUGAUGACCUCUUUCGAGUUGUAAACCGCUUCCUCCUGUGACGUGGCGUUAGUGACGGUAAUUGGUAAGAAAGCACCGGCUAACUACGUG